RNAcentral lists this unclassified non-coding RNA (1336 nucleotides) under Drosophila yakuba. RNAcentral's name for it is "GE23920". Lineage: Eukaryota; Metazoa; Arthropoda; Insecta; Diptera; Drosophilidae. The record is from RNAcentral.
AAGCGGGCAUAAAUCUUCAGAACAAUGGAGCGACGUGGGCGCAUUCCGGUGGCCAAGUUCCGCACCCAGGAAGCCAAGACACGCAGUCGGAGUCGCGUGAGGGAGCCGGACUACAACGAGCAGGACCCAGAGCACGAUAUGUUCACUUUGCUGGAGGAUAACAUUGCCCUUCGGGAGGAGAACAAGGCACUUAAGCUGGAGAUCGAGACCCAUAAAACCACGCAGGAGGAGCAGCAGGUUCAGCAUGAGAAGAUGUGCGCUGCACUGGAAUCACUGCAGCAGCAGCAGUCCAACUUCGAGACCCAGAUCAAGGAGCUGAGCUCCAAGUUCAACAAGGCUCUCAACGAACGAAACGCUUUAGACAAGCUGCACAAAAUGAAGGUCGAUCAAAUUCACAAUCUCACCAGCGAGCUGGAGCAUAUUCGCGAGAAGCAGCAGGAUCAAGCACCUCCAGUAGCUUCACGUGCGGUGCUCGGUUCCGUUGACCUCAAGCGAAAGCUCUUUAAGAUACUGCAGACGGGCAGCGCCGACAGUUCUGACAGUAUCGGAGCUCAGGAGCUGGACAGUCUGGUUGAUGUCAAUUCGGAAGGGGUGCCCAUCACCAGCGGCCUGGUGGAGCGACUGGCCGAUGAGUUUUUGACUCUCAAAAAUACCACCAAUUCUGUGGAGCUGCAGUUGUACGAGGCCAACGAAAAGAUGGCCGAACUAUUGGAGCAGCAACACGCAAUGGAGGAGGAAAACGAAGCGCUGCGUACGGAAAACAGUAACUUAACCAAAGUGGCCAAGCUGCUGACCGAAAACAUGAAGGAGAGCGUGGAAACUAGCCAAAAAAUGGAAGCUGCUCUCAUCAAGUUGAAGCAGCGCAAUGAUGAGCUCACUGCGAAGACUCGAGAUCUGACCGAUGGCCAGCCAGGAUCCAGGACCAGCACGUCGUCCAGCGUGCUAAACGAGCAGGUGGAGUUCGAGCAGAUCCAGGACCAGGUGCAGCAGCAGGCCAGAGAGCACAACGAGCGCAUUGUGGAAAUGCAAACACGCAGCGUGUUUGAUAUUUUCAAGCCGUUCUCGAACAUCUUUAAGAGCAACUGAAUCACAACAAGAUCAGCUGGUGGAGGUGAUUCCCCCACUGCACAUGUAUAACACGAUCUGAAAAAUGCAUGGAAUGCGGCCAGCUGGGCGUGUUAUUGUUCCCUAUUCUUGGUGCCGGGUCAACCUUUCUUCUUUCCUCUAUCAAAAUACCAGCCGAGACACGUCUUGACGCUCUGAUGCGUGAGUUUAAGUCGGGAGGCGUGACCCUGCGAAGGCGCAAUCGCCGCAAGACGGGCACCAGCGAGGCCCU